AUAGCAAGGAUUAUACGAAGGAAGAAUUUAUCGAAAUUGUAACAACACAGUGUUUUCCAUUGUUUUUGGUGACCAUAUACAAAACAUUAUGCAUAGAUAAUUUAUUUUUGUAGGUAGUGUAGGAUUUCGUGACUUAUCUUGAUCACAGUAGUGAUGAUGAAAAGCCCUGAGAAAGUGAAGGAGAUCAUAGCCAUUAUUUGUUCUCAAUCUAGAC
RNAcentral lists this unclassified non-coding RNA (214 nucleotides) under Hevea brasiliensis (rubber tree). Lineage: Eukaryota; Viridiplantae; Streptophyta; Magnoliopsida; Malpighiales; Euphorbiaceae. The record is from RNAcentral.